Molecule: long non-coding RNA, 229 nt
Organism: Aphidius gifuensis
Lineage: Eukaryota; Metazoa; Arthropoda; Insecta; Hymenoptera; Braconidae
Exons: 3
Source: RefSeq, a predicted model, not a curated record
UGACCACUCCAAGUUUAAUGUCUGUGGAAAAUGGAACAGAUGGAUAUAAGGCCAACAAUUUUACUGGACAAAUAAAAGAGAAAAACAAUGGAAACAUGACCACUCCAAGUUUAAUGUCUGUGGAAAAUGGAACAGAUGGAUAUAAGGCCAACAAUUUUACUGGACAAAUAAAAGAGAAAAACAAUGGAAACAUGACCACUCCAAGUUUAAUGUCUGUGGAAAAUGGAAC